This 476-nucleotide ribosomal RNA is filed under the name uncultured organism. RNAcentral describes it as "partial 16S ribosomal RNA". It matches the Rfam family "Bacterial small subunit ribosomal RNA", at positions 332 to 799 of the family's 1533-position model. The record is from RNAcentral.
UACACUCCUGCGGGAGGCAGCAGUGGGGAAUUUUGGACAAUGGGCGAAAGCCUGAUCCAGCAAUGCCGCGUGUGUGAAGAAGGCCUUCGGGUUGUAAAGCACUUUUGUCCGGAAAGAAAUCCUUGGCUCUAAUACAGUCGAGGGAUGACGGUACCGGAAGAAUAAGCACCGGCUAACUACGUGCCAGCAGCCGCGGUAAUACGUAGGGUGCGAGCGUUAAUCGGAAUUACUGGGCGUAAAGCGUGCGCAGGCGGUUUGCUAAGACCGAUGUGAAAUCCCCGGGCUCAACCUGGGAACUGCAUUGGUGACUGGCAGGCUAGAGUAUGGCAGAGGGGGGUAGAAUUCCACGUGUAGCAGUGAAAUGCGUAGAGAUGUGGAGGAAUACCGAUGGCGAAGGCAGCCCCCUGGGCCAAUACUGACGCUCAUGCACGAAAGCGUGGGGAGCAAACAGGAUUAGAUACCCUUGUAGUCCCAUG